UUUCAACUUGAGAGUUUGAUCCUGGCUCAGAACGAACGCUGGCGGCAGGCUUAACACAUGCAAGUCGAGCGCCCCGCAAGGGGAGCGGCAGACGGGUGAGUAACGCGUGGGAACGUACCAUUUGCUACGGAAUAACUCAGGGAAACUUGUGCUAAUACCGUAUGUGCUCGGGGAAGGAUUUAUCGGCAAAUGAUCGGCCCGCGUUGGAUUAGCUAGUUGGUGGGGUAAAGGCUCACCAAGGCGACGAUCCAUAGCUGGUCUGAGAGGAUGAUCAGCCACACUGGGACUGAGACACGGCCCAGACUCCUACGGGAGGCAGCAGUGGGGAAUAUUGGACAAUGGGCGCAAGCCUGAUCCAGCCAUGCCGCGUGAGUGAUGAGGCCCUAGGGUUGUAAAGCUCUUUCACCGGUGAAGAUAAUGACGGUAACCGGAGAAGAAGCCCCGGCUAACUUCGUGCCAGCAGCCGCGGUAAUACGAAGGGGGCUAGCGUUGUUCGGAUUUACUGGGCGUAAGCGCACGUAGGCGGACUUUUAAGUCAGGGGUGAAUCCCGGGGCUCAACCCCGGAACUGCC
This 572-nucleotide ribosomal RNA is filed under the name Brucella abortus 544. RNAcentral's name for it is "bacterial SSU rRNA". It matches the Rfam family "Bacterial small subunit ribosomal RNA", at positions 1 to 625 of the family's 1533-position model. Lineage: Bacteria; Pseudomonadati; Pseudomonadota; Alphaproteobacteria; Hyphomicrobiales; Brucellaceae. The record is from RNAcentral.